This 842-nucleotide long non-coding RNA is filed under the name Olea europaea (common olive). Its description in RNAcentral is "long non-coding RNA (OEUR_LNC009716)". The record is from RNAcentral. Lineage: Eukaryota; Viridiplantae; Streptophyta; Magnoliopsida; Lamiales; Oleaceae.
UACGAAUCUUCACGGUAAUUAAGAACCCUUUUCUCCUUUCAGUGAAGUUUGAUCCAAGAAAAUAGAUGACAAUUUAAAGAAAUCAAGAAAAGAAAGAAAAUUUGGCGUCUCACUAUAUUUAUGUUUUGUGUACAUACAUGGAUCCAUUGUGCAAUUUUCUUCGUUCUUCUCCUCUUCUUCCUUCCUCUGACACUGGAAAAAUCUUUAACCAGGAAAAAGACAGUCUCUUAGAAAGGGCAAAAAAAAAGAAAAAGAAAGAAAAGAGAGAGAGCCAAAUGUAUGCUUCUCUCUCUGGACAUUUUUCCUAUUCAAGAUUCAUUGUAUUCACGCCAGCAAACAAGUAUGGUUACACAGCGUCGCAUGAUGUAAAACCUGGCCCUCUGUUCCUUAACUAAAGCAGCACACUUUCUUGCAAAAGAACACCUUUUCCGGGAUGAAUUUCUGACGAAAUUGUUCGAGGAAUGAUUUCUUGAUGAACUUUCCUUCUUCGAGAGCUUCCACUUUUCAUCAAAGUACAACUGCGGCGGAGCACCACCAGCUGGGGGAGGUACGGCCAUGACUCUCUCUACUUUAUGUUUUCAAGAACUUCAAAGGGUUUUCUUGAAAUAAUUGGCUCUACUUUUGACGAUAACAAGAAUACACCAAAGAGAUUUGGCAAAUUGAGGGAAAAAGUGGGUUUUCUGGGUGAUUUGUUGACUGGGGAUUAUGAGAUUUUAGUGAGCUACUGAGCUUUGAAGGAUUGAGCGAAGAUAACAAAGGUUGCUAUUUAUAAUAGAAGUUAAGGAAGAAAGUUGGGGAUUUUGGGUAUCACCUCACCUGGGCCUUGUUUUACCCAGGGACCC